CCUACGGGAGGCAGCAGUGAGGAAUAUUGGUCAAUGGGCGCGAGCCUGAACCAGCCAAGUAGCGUGAAGGAUGACUGCCCUACGGGUUGUAAACUUCUUUUAUAAAGGAAUAAAGUGAGGCACGUGUGCCUUUUUGUAUGGACUUUAUGAAUAAGGAUCGGCUAACUCCGGGCCAGCAGCCGCGGUAAUACGGAGGAUCCGAGCGUUAUCCGGAUUUAUUGGGUUGAAAGGGAGCGUAGAUGGGUUGUUAAGUCAGUUGUGAAAGUUUGCGGCUCAACCGUGAAAUUGCAAUUGAUAAUGGCAGCCUUGAGUACAGUUGAGGUAGGCGGAAUGCGUGGUGUAGCGGUGAAAUGCUUAGAUAUCACGAAGAACUCCGAUUGCGAAGGCAGCUUACUAAACUGCAACUGACAUUGAUGCUCGAAAGUGUGGGUAUCAAACAGGAUUAGAUACCCUAGUAGUC
This 460-nucleotide ribosomal RNA is filed under the name uncultured bacterium. RNAcentral describes it as "partial 16S ribosomal RNA". It matches the Rfam family "Bacterial small subunit ribosomal RNA", at positions 338 to 795 of the family's 1533-position model. The record is from RNAcentral.